Trachymyrmex cornetzi is the source of this 118-nucleotide long non-coding RNA. RefSeq lists it as uncharacterized. The transcript is spliced from 3 exons. NCBI's taxonomy places the organism in Eukaryota, Metazoa, Arthropoda, Insecta, Hymenoptera, Formicidae. The record is from RefSeq and is a predicted model, not a curated record.
AUUUUACCAUAAUUACCCAGAUAGCAAAGCGUGUCUCAGCAAAAUCAUACAAAUCUGUGAUUGCUUAUGAUGUUGGAAACUUGCCAUAGAUUUGUUUUCAACGAUUUCGAAUAUAUCG